RNAcentral lists this ribosomal RNA (406 nucleotides) under uncultured bacterium. RNAcentral describes it as "partial 16S ribosomal RNA". It matches the Rfam family "Bacterial small subunit ribosomal RNA", at positions 30 to 526 of the family's 1533-position model. The record is from RNAcentral.
AUUGAACGCUGGCGGCAGGCCUAACACAUGCAAGUCGAACGAGUGGCGGACGGGUGAGUAAUGUCUGGGAAACUGCCUGAUGGAGGGGGAUAACUACUGGACACGGUAGCUAAUACCGCAUACCAUCAGAUGUGCCCAGAUGGGUUUAGCUUGUUGGUGGGGGAACGGCUCACCAAGGCGACGAUCCCUAGCUGGUCUGAGAGGAUGACCAGCAACACGGGAACUGGUACACGGUCCAGACGCCAACGGGAGGAAGCAGUGGGUAAUAUUGCACAAGGGGCGCAAGCCUGAUGCAGCCAUGCCGCGUGUAUGAAGAAGGCCUUCGGGUUGUAAAGUACUUUCAGCGGGGAGGCGUUACCCGCAGAAGAAGCACCGGCUAACUCCGUGCCAGCAGCCGCGGUAAUUC